AGGACUAACGCUGGCGGCGUGCCUAACACAUGCAAGUCGAACGAAGUAGCAAUACUUAGUGGCAGACGGGUGAGUAACACGUAGUCAACCUGCCCUUCAAUGGGGGAUAACUAGCCGAAAGGUUAGCUAAUACCGCAUACGAUCUCUGAGUGGCAUCACUCGGCGAUGAAAGGAGUAAUCCGUUGAAGGAGGGGACUGCGUCCCAUUAGUUAGUUGGUGGGGUAAUGGCCUACCAAGACUCCGAUGGGUAGCUGGCUUGAGAGAGCGACCAGCCACACUGGAACUGAGACACGGUCCAGACUCCUACGGGAGGCAGCAGUGAGGAAUUUUCCGCAAUGGGGGAAACCCUGACGGAGCGACGCCGCGUGUGGGAAGAAGGCCUUCGGGUCGUAACCACUGUCGAGGGGGACGAUAUUGACGGUACCCCUGGAGGAAGCCCGGCUAACUACGCGCCAGCAGCCGC
Molecule: ribosomal RNA, 463 nt
Filed under: uncultured bacterium
Lineage: Bacteria
Description: SSU rRNA
Rfam family: Bacterial small subunit ribosomal RNA
Source: RNAcentral